RNAcentral lists this transfer RNA (71 nucleotides) under Amblyrhynchus cristatus. Its description in RNAcentral is "tRNA-Thr". It matches the Rfam family "tRNA". From Rfam's summary of the family: Transfer RNA (tRNA) molecules are approximately 80 nucleotides in length. Their secondary structure includes four short double-helical elements and three loops (D, anti-codon, and T loops). The record is from RNAcentral. Lineage: Eukaryota; Metazoa; Chordata; Lepidosauria; Squamata; Iguanidae.
GCCCUAGUAGCUUAACCCCUAAAGCGUUGGUCUUGUAAACCAAAGCUGGGAACUAGACCACCCCUAAGGCA